UGGGGAAUAUUGGACAAUGGACCAAAAGUYUGAUCCAGCAAUUCUGUGKGCACRAURAAGGUYUUCGGAUUGUAAAGUGCUUUCAGGKGGGAARAAGAAAGUGACGGUACCACCAGAAGAAGCGACGGYUAAAUACGUGCCAGCAGCCGCGGUAAUACGUAUGUCGCAAGCGUUAUCCGGAAUUAUUGGGCGUAAAGCGAGUCUAGGCGGCUUGUUAAGUCACGAUGUGAAAAUGCGGGGCUCAACUCCGUAUUGCGUUUGAAACUGGCAGGCUAGAGUACUGGAGAGGUGGGCGGAACUACAAGUGUAGAGGUGAAAUUCGUAGAUAUUUGUAGGAAUGCCGAUAGUGAAGACAGCUCACUGGACAGAUACUGACGCUAAAGCUCGAAAGCGUGGGGAGCGAACAGGAUUAGAUACCCUGGUAGUCCACGCCGUAAACSAUGUUCACUGGGUGUAGGGGGUCGAACCUCUGUGCCGAAGCUAACGCGAUAAGUGAACCGCCUGGGGAGUACGCACGCAAGUGUGAAACUCAAAGG
RNAcentral lists this ribosomal RNA (536 nucleotides) under uncultured bacterium. Its description in RNAcentral is "bacterial SSU rRNA". It matches the Rfam family "Bacterial small subunit ribosomal RNA", at positions 355 to 907 of the family's 1533-position model. The record is from RNAcentral.